UGCCAGCCGCCGCGGUAAUACCGGCAGCUCAAGUGGCCGUCGCUUUUAUUGGGCCUAAAACGUCCGUAGCCUGUUUGGUAAAUCUGUGGGUAAAUCAACCAGCUUAACUGGUUGAAUUCUGCAGAGACUGCCAGACUAGGGACCGGGAGAGGUGUGGGGUACUCUAGGGGUAGGGGUAAAAUCCUGUCAUCCUUAGAGGACCACCAGUUGCGAAGGCGCCACACUGGUUCGAUACUGACGCUGAGGUACGAAAGUGUGGGGAGCAAACAGGAUUAGAUA
RNAcentral lists this ribosomal RNA (279 nucleotides) under uncultured bacterium. RNAcentral's name for it is "partial 16S ribosomal RNA". It matches the Rfam family "Archaeal small subunit ribosomal RNA", at positions 456 to 735 of the family's 1478-position model. The record is from RNAcentral.